UGUAGGACCCCCUGGACUGCAUGGUCCUUGGGGGUUGAAAGGCAUGAGCGGUGUGCAUGGCAGGCCGGGUAUUGAGGGUCCACCGGGACAAGAUAUAUCUGACCAGCAUAUUAUUGAUGUGGUAUAAAGAAUGUUGCAAGAGAGGCUGGCAGCAGUAGCAGUGAGCACUAAAAGGGCUGUGCCGUUGAACAACCGGCUAUUCUGGUCCUCCGUGAUUAAUGGUUCCACAAGGACCACAUGAUUUGCCUGGUUCCCGAAGAAUUCCUGGAACGAUGGGAGCUGACAGACGGAUUGGAAACACAUGUCUUAAAGCAGGAUGUGUUCCCUUCGACUGCUGGAGAGUUCUGUGCCGUUUUGAGCCGGAGGAGAAUAUAUAGGGAGGUCUGCAGUGGGCGGGGCUCUAGCUCAACACUGCAGCGUCGUUGUUUGACUUCUCCAAAUGAAUCCUACAGUUGUGAUGGGUCUACUCGACGUUCAUCACAACGUGGACAACUACACAGGUAAGUAUUAUGGUGUGUUAUGAAAGAUGUUUGGCUUCUCCAAAUGAAUCCUACAGUUGUGAUGGGUCUACUCGACGUACAAUGUUCAUCACAACGUGGACAACCAAACAGCCAAAUGAAUCCUACAGUUGUGAUGGGUCUACUCGACGUACAAUGUUCAUCACAACGUGGACAACCAGACAGGUAAGUAUUAUGGUGUGUUAUGAAAGCAUUAAAAUGUUUGCUUUGAUGUUUCUCCGACUCCUGUUUAUUGUUGUGUCUACAACAAGUUUGUGUGUUAAACUUGUGGCCCCCCAACAACACACACACCACAACAAAGUCCCCAGAAGGCCCACGAAUGAUGGGACGCCACCCAGACGGACUGGAGGCACAGGCUUGGUUAGGAUUAUGGUUAGGGUUAGGAUUGGGGGAAGGGGAAUGCACAGUCCGUCUGCAGCCCGCCCGGGCGACGCCCACACCAACCCCGGAACCCCCCGAAGACCCCGAAAGAUGCGCAUGCUGCGUCAGACACAUACAGCCAAAUUAGUGACGGGCAUGACUGGCCCUGCCAUCCAGCGACGCGUUUCGGUCUCUUGACCUCUUCAGGCUGGCUUUGCACUGAUUGCAGGAUGUAAACAUCUUUUUAACUGCGAGUCUGUGCCUACUGGGACACUUCUAAUUCCCUAGUAGGUGGGGCACUUCUAAUCCCCUAGACUUACGGCUACUCUAUUUUUCUCUACAGCAGGAUGUGUUCCCUUCGACUGCUGGAGAGUUCUGUGCCGUUUUGAGCCGGAGGAGAAUAUAUAGGGAGGUCUGCAGUGGGCGGGGCUCUAGCUCAACACUGCAGCGUCGUUGUUUGACUUCUCCAAAUGAAUCCUACAGUUGUGAUGGGUCUACUCGACGUUCAUCACAACGUGGACAACUACACAGGUAAGUAUUAUGGUGUGUUAUGAAAGAUGUUUGGCUUCUCCAAAUGAAUCCUACAGUUGUGAUGGGUCUACUCGACGUACAAUGUUCAUCACAACGUGGACAACCAAACAGCCAAAUGAAUCCUACAGUUGUGAUGGGUCUACUCGACGUACAAUGUUCAUCACAACGUGGACAACCAGACAGGUAAGUAUUAUGGUGUGUUAUGAAAGCAUUAAAAUGUUUGCUUUGAUGUUUCUCCGACUCCUGUUUAUUGUUGUGUCUACAACAAGUUUGUGUGUUAAACUUGUGGCCCCCCAACAACACACACACCACAACAAAGUCCCCAGAAGGCCCACGAAUGAUGGGACGCCACCCAGACGGACUGGAGGCACAGGCUUGGUUAGGAUUAUGGUUAGGGUUAGGAUUGGGGGAAGGGGAAUGCACAGUCCGUCUGCAGCCCGCCCGGGCGACGCCCACACCAACCCCGGAACCCCCCGAAGACCCCGAAAGAUGCGCAUGCUGCGUCAGACACAUACAGCCAAAUUAGUGACGGGCAUGACUGGCCCUGCCAUCCAGCGACGCGUUUCGGUCUCUUGACCUCUUCAGGCUGGCUUUGCACUGAUUGCAGGAUGUAAACAUCUUUUUAACUGCGAGUCUGUGCCUACUGGGACACUUCUAAUUCCCUAGUAGGUGGGGCACUUCUAAUCCCCUAGACUUACGGCUACUCUAUUUUUCUCUACAGCAGGAUGUGUUCCCUUCGACUGCUGGAGAGUUCUGUGCCGUUUUGAGCCGGAGGAGAAUAUAUAGGGAGGUCUGCAGUGGGCGGGGCUCUAGCUCAACACUGCAGCGUCGUUGUUUGACUUCUCCAAAUGAAUCCUACAGUUGUGAUGGGUCUACUCGACGUUCAUCACAACGUGGACAACUACACAGGUAAGUA
Molecule: long non-coding RNA, 2325 nt
Organism: Nerophis ophidion (straightnose pipefish)
Lineage: Eukaryota; Metazoa; Chordata; Actinopteri; Syngnathiformes; Syngnathidae
Exons: 4
Source: RefSeq, a predicted model, not a curated record